RNAcentral lists this ribosomal RNA (1115 nucleotides) under Proteus mirabilis. RNAcentral describes it as "partial 23S ribosomal RNA". It matches the Rfam family "Bacterial large subunit ribosomal RNA", at positions 657 to 1770 of the family's 2925-position model. The record is from RNAcentral. Lineage: Bacteria; Pseudomonadati; Pseudomonadota; Gammaproteobacteria; Enterobacterales; Morganellaceae.
AUAGGGGAGCCGUAGGGAAACCGAGUCUUAACUGGGCGAAUGAGUUGCAGGGUAUAGACCCGAAACCCGGUGAUCUAUCCAUGGGCAGGUUGAAGGUUGGGUAACACUAACUGGAGGACCGAACCGACUAAUGUUGAAAAAUUAGCGGAUGACUUGUGGAUGGGGGUGAAAGGCCAAUCAAACCGGGAGAUAGCUGGUUCUCCCCGAAAGCUAUUUAGGUAGCGCCUCGUGAACUCAUCUUCGGGGGUAGAGCACUGUUUCGACUAGGGGGUCAUCCCGACUUACCAACUCGAUGCAAACUGCGAAUACCGAAGAAUGUUAUCACGGGAGACACACGGCGGGUGCUAACGUCCGUCGUGAAGAGGGAAACAACCCAGACCGCCAGCUAAGGUCCCAAAGUCAUGGUUAAGUGGGAAACGAAGUGGGAAGGCUCAGACAGCCAGGAUGUUGGCUUAGAAGCAGCCAUCAUUUAAAGAAAGCGUAAUAGCUCACUGGUCGAGUCGGCCCGCGCGGAAGAUGUAACGGGGCUAAACCAUGCACCGAAGCUGCGGCAGCGACACAAAGUGUUGUUGGGUAGGGGAGCGUUCUGUAAGCCUGCGAAGGUGUACUGUGAGGUAUGCUGGAGGUAUCAGAAGUGCGAAUGCUGACAUAAGUAACGAUAAUGCGGGUGAAAAACCCGCACGCCGGAAGACCAAGGGUUCCUGUCCAACGUUAAUCGGGGCAGGGUGAGUCGACCCCUAAGGCGAGGCUGAAAAGCGUAGUCGAUGGGAAACGGGUUAAUAUUCCCGUACUGGUGGUAACUGCGAUGGGGGAACGGAGAAGGCUAGGUUGUCCGGGCGACGGUCGUCCCGGUUCAAGCAGGUAGGCAGAGUGAUUAGGCAAAUCCGGUCACUUAAUGCUGAGAUGUGAUGACGAACCACCAAGGUGGUGAAGCAAUUGAUGCCCCGCUUCCAGGAAAAGCCUCUAAGCUUCAGGUUACCAACAAUCGUACCCCAAACCGACACAGGUGGUCAGGUAGAGAAUACUCAGGCGCUUGAGAGAACUCGGGUGAAGGAACUAGGCAAAAUGGUGCCGUAACUUCGGGAGAAGGCACGCUGGCGGUAGGUAAAGUCCCU